GCAGUGUCUCAAACAGCAAAGGGAACGAAUAGCUUCCAUCAACAGAAGAAUCAGCCCUGCGAAUUGCAUGUAGAUGGCCAAUUGAUGCCUCCAAAUUUGAAAAUAAACUAUUAAUAGUAACUAGCAAUGAUGGGAAUGACUUUUCUGGAUCCUUCACCAACUCUUCUCCACAUCUGUCAACUUCCAUGUAAACCUCAGCCAAGAAUGUAGCAAGCACACGUCUUAAUGUCGUUAAAACAUCCAGCCUCUCAGAUAUAUAAGCAGAUGCAGAUUGGCAUAGAUGCUGCAUUGAAGGACCCUCAACAACGCAUUGUUGCACUAACUGAACUGUUCCGUC
RNAcentral lists this unclassified non-coding RNA (337 nucleotides) under Hevea brasiliensis (rubber tree). Lineage: Eukaryota; Viridiplantae; Streptophyta; Magnoliopsida; Malpighiales; Euphorbiaceae. The record is from RNAcentral.